GCUGGAGGAUCAAGAAGGCUGAGUCUGAUGAAGCAAGACUUUGCUGAUACACUCCUCCUAGAGAAGAGGGUAGAAAGAACAGCCCUUCCUGGAGAAAACCACAGGGUUGACUGCACUACCCAACAUUU
Mesocricetus auratus (golden hamster) is the source of this 128-nucleotide non-coding RNA. Lineage: Eukaryota; Metazoa; Chordata; Mammalia; Rodentia; Cricetidae. The record is from Ensembl.